RNAcentral lists this transfer RNA (72 nucleotides) under Haliaeetus albicilla (white-tailed eagle). Its description in RNAcentral is "tRNA-Trp". It matches the Rfam family "tRNA". From Rfam's summary of the family: Transfer RNA (tRNA) molecules are approximately 80 nucleotides in length. Their secondary structure includes four short double-helical elements and three loops (D, anti-codon, and T loops). Further hydrogen bonds mediate the characteristic L-shaped molecular structure. tRNAs have two regions of fundamental functional importance: the anti-codon, which is responsible for specific mRNA codon recognition, and the 3' end, to which the tRNAs corresponding amino acid is attached (by aminoacyl-tRNA synthetases). tRNAs cope with the degeneracy of the genetic code in two manners: having more than one tRNA (with a specific anti-codon) for a particular amino acid; and 'wobble' base-pairing, i.e. permitting non-standard base-pairing at the 3rd anti-codon position. Lineage: Eukaryota; Metazoa; Chordata; Aves; Accipitriformes; Accipitridae. The record is from RNAcentral. RNAcentral also lists the same sequence under 1 other name.
AGAAACUUAGGAUAACCAUCAAACCGAAGGCCUUCAAAGCCUUAAAUAAGAGUUAAACCCUCUUAGUUUCUG